GACGAACGCUGGCGGCGUGCUUAACACAUGCAAGUCGAACGGAAAGGCCUGCUUUCCCUUGUGGAUUGCGGGUACUCGAGUGGCGAACGGGUGAGUAACACGUGAGUGAUCUGCCCCCAACUUGGGUAUAAGCCUGGGAAACUGGGUCUAAUUCCCGAUAGGACUGCAGGGUGGUGCCUGUGGUGGAAAACGAUUUUCUAGUGGUUGGGGAUGAGCUCGCGGCCUAUCAGCUUGUUGGUGGGGUAAUGGCCUACCAAGGCGGCGACGGGUAGCCGGCCUGAGAGGGUGGACGGCCACAUUGGGACUGAGAUACGGCCCAGACUCCUACGGGAGGCAGCAGUGGGGAAUAUUGCACAAUGGGCGGAAGCCUGAUGCAGCGACGCCGCGUGGGGGAUGUCGGCCUUCGGGUUGUAAACUCCUUUCGACCGCGAGGAAGCCACCUGGUUGGAAGGGUGGUGACGGUAGUGGUAGAAGAAGCACCGGCUAACUACGUG
Molecule: ribosomal RNA, 494 nt
Filed under: uncultured bacterium
Lineage: Bacteria
Description: partial 16S ribosomal RNA
Rfam family: Bacterial small subunit ribosomal RNA
Source: RNAcentral